CAGUCGCCGCGGGAAUACGGAGGGGGCUAGCGUUGUUCGGAAUUACUGGGCGUAAAGCGCACGUAGGCGGCUUUGUAAGUUAGAGGUGAAAGCCCGGAGCUCAACUCCGGAAUUGCCUUUAAGACUGCAGAGCUAGCAGGUGAGAGAGGUGAGUGGAAUUCCGAGUGUAGAGGUGAAAUUCGUAGAUAUUCGGAAGAACACCAGUGGCGAAGGCGACUGACUGGACAAGUAUUGACGCUGAGGUGCGAAAGCGUGGGGAGCAAACAGGAUUAGAUACCCCCGUAGUCCCUGUCUCUUAUAC
RNAcentral lists this ribosomal RNA (301 nucleotides) under uncultured bacterium. RNAcentral's name for it is "partial 16S ribosomal RNA". It matches the Rfam family "Bacterial small subunit ribosomal RNA", at positions 509 to 807 of the family's 1533-position model. The record is from RNAcentral.